ACGCUUCAGUAGCAUGUGUACUAAAAUUGGAAAGAUCCAGAGAUAAUCAUCAUGGCCCCUGUGGCAAGGAUGACACACAAAUUCAUGAAGCAUUUCAUAUUUUA
Small nuclear RNA from Molossus molossus (Pallas's mastiff bat), 104 nucleotides. The record is from RefSeq and is a predicted model, not a curated record. Lineage: Eukaryota; Metazoa; Chordata; Mammalia; Chiroptera; Molossidae.